RNAcentral lists this ribosomal RNA (163 nucleotides) under Catalepis gracilis. RNAcentral describes it as "5.8S ribosomal RNA". It matches the Rfam family "5.8S ribosomal RNA". From Rfam's summary of the family: 5.8S ribosomal RNA (5.8S rRNA) is a component of the large subunit of the eukaryotic ribosome. It is transcribed by RNA polymerase I as part of the 45S precursor that also contains 18S and 28S rRNA. Functionally, it is thought that 5.8S rRNA may be involved in ribosome translocation. The record is from RNAcentral. Lineage: Eukaryota; Viridiplantae; Streptophyta; Magnoliopsida; Poales; Poaceae.
CACAUGACUCUCGGCAACGGAUAUCUCGGCUCUCGCAUCGAUGAAGAAAGUAGCAAAAUGCGAUACCUGGUGUGAAUUGCAGAAUCCCGCGAACCAUCGAGUUUUUGAACGCAAGUUGCGCCCGAGGCCUUCUGGCCGAGGGCACGUCUGCCUGGGCGUCACG